Molecule: ribosomal RNA, 200 nt
Filed under: uncultured bacterium
Lineage: Bacteria
Description: partial 16S ribosomal RNA
Rfam family: Bacterial small subunit ribosomal RNA
Source: RNAcentral
AGCGAACGCUGGCGGCAUGCUUAACACAUGCAAGUCGCACGGGCAGGGGCAACCCUGUCAGUGGCGGACGGGUGAGUAACGCGUAGGUAUCUGUCCUUGGGUGGGGGAUAACCACGGGAAACUGUGGCUAAUACCGCAUGAUGACUGAGGUCCAAAGGCGCAAGUCGCCUGGGGAGGAGCCUGCGUCCGAUUAGCUUGUU